Molecule: long non-coding RNA, 520 nt
Filed under: Olea europaea (common olive)
Lineage: Eukaryota; Viridiplantae; Streptophyta; Magnoliopsida; Lamiales; Oleaceae
Description: long non-coding RNA (OEUR_LNC005320)
Source: RNAcentral
UGCCUGUCAUGAACCAAAAGAAUUUGAAAAGAAUCCAGGUAAUCAUGUUCCAUUGCCAUAUUUUUAUUAUGUGAAGAAGAAAGUUUUGGCUUACCAAUGUCGUCCUGUUCAUUUGCCAUAGCCACAUUUGUUCAAGGGGACUUUUCCAGCUGCUUCCAUCUCCCUUAUCAGGUAAGCUACCAUUGGCAACAAGUAGCCCCUCCCCCUUAAGUUUUCUUCAUUCAUUGGUUCCUUUGCAUUGCAGUUGAGAGGUUUCAGUGUAAAGGUCUCCUCUCUAAUUAAUAAAUUCAUGACCAAUGCUUCGCUUACAGAAAUUUUCUGUACAUAUAGAACUAUUCUAAAUUCAUUAUUUCUAAAAAUCAGAAUUUGCCAAGAGAUCAAUUGCAACACUAAUUAUGAACUCCAGAAGAAAAGAAGAAAGAAUACCACAUAUCUAAAAUAUCCUCUCAGCUUCUUUCACAGUGAUGCCGUCGCCACCACCAAGUUUUCCAUUCCAAAUAUGCAUUUUGACAAAGAAAUU